AGUGAACGCUGGCGGUAGGCCUAACACAUGCAAGUCGAACGGCAGCACAGUAAGAGCUUGCUCUUACGGUUGGCGAGUGGCGGACGGGUGAGGAAUACAUCGGAAUCUUCUUUUUCGUGGGGGAUAACGUAGGGCAGCUUACGCUAAUACCGCAUACGACCUACGGGUGAAAGCAGGGGAUCUUCGCACCUUGCGCGAUUGAAUGAGCCGAUGCCGCAUUAGCUAGUUGGCGGGGUAAAGGCCCACCAAGGCGACGAUCCGUAGCUGAUCUGAGAGGAUGAUCGGCCACACUGGAACUGAGACACGGUCCAGACUCCUACGGGAGGCAGCAGUGGGGAAUAUUGGACAAUGGGCGCAAGCCUGAUCCAGCAAUGCCGCGUGAGUGAAGAAGGCCUUCGGGUUGUAAAGCCCUUUUGUUGGGAAAGAAAAGAAGCAGGUUAAUACCCGGCUGUUCUGACGGUACCCAAAGAAUAAGCACCGGCUAACUUCGUG
RNAcentral lists this ribosomal RNA (492 nucleotides) under uncultured bacterium. RNAcentral's name for it is "partial 16S ribosomal RNA". It matches the Rfam family "Bacterial small subunit ribosomal RNA", at positions 29 to 507 of the family's 1533-position model. The record is from RNAcentral.